GACGAACGCUGGCGGCACGCUAAACACAUGCAAGUCGAACGAGAGAAGAGAAGCUUGCUUUUCUGAUCUAGUGGCGGACGGGUGAGUAACACGUGAGCAAUCUGCCUUUCAGAGGGGGAUACCGAUUGGAAACGAUCGUUAAUACCGCAUAAUAUAAUUGAACCGCAUGAUUUGAUUAUCAAAGAUUUAUCGCUGAAAGAUGAGCUCGCGUCUGAUUAGCUAGUUGGUAAGGUAACGGCUUACCAAGGCGACGAUCAGUAGCCGGACUGAGAGGUUGAUCGGCCACAUUGGGACUGAGACACGGCCCAGACUCCUACGGGAGGCAGCAGUGGGGAAUAUUGCACAAUGGAGGAAACUCUGAUACAGCGAUGCCGCGUGAGGGAAGAAGGUUUUAGGAUUGUAAACCUCUGUCUUCAGGGACGAAAAAAGACGGUACCUGAGGAGGAAGCUCCGGCUAACUACGUGCCAGCAGCCGCGGUAAUACGUAGGGAGCGAGCGUUGUCCGGAAUUACUGGGUGUAAAGGGAGCGUAGGCGGGAUCGCAAGUCAGAUGUGAAAACUAUGGGCUUAACCCAUAAACUGCAUUUGAAACUGUGGUUCUUGAGUGAAGUAGAGGUAAGCGGAAUUCCUAGUGUAGCGGUGAAAUGCGUAGAUAUUAGGAGGAACAUCAGUGGCGAAGGCGGCUUACUGGGCUUUAACUGACGCUGAGGCUCGAAAGCGUGGGGAGCAAACAGGAUUAGAUACCCUGGUAGUCCACGCCGUAAACGAUGAUUACUAGGUGUGGGGGGACUGACCCCUUCCGUGCCGCAGCAAACGCAAUAAGUAAUCCACCUGGGGAGUACGACCGCAAGGUUGAAACUCAAAGGAAUUGACGGGGGCCCGCACAAGCAGUGGAGUAUGUGGAUUAAUUCGAAGCAACGCGAAGAACCUUACCAGGUCUUGACAUCGUAUGCAUAGCUCAGAGAUGAGUGAAAUCUCUUCGGAGACAUAUAGACAGGUGGUGCAUGGUUGUCGUCAGCUCGUGUCGUGAGAUGUUGGGUUAAGUCCCGCAACGAGCGCAACCCUUACUGUUAGUUGCUACGCAAGAGCACUCUAGCAGGACUGCCGUUGACAAAACGGAGGAAGGUGGGGAUGACGUCAAAUCAUCAUGCCCCUUAUGACCUGGGCCUCACACGUACUACAAUGGCUGUCAACAGAGGGAAGCAAAGCCGCGAGGUGGAGCGAACCCCUAAAAGCAGUCUUAGUUCGGAUUGUAGGCUGAAACCCGCCUACAUGAAGUCGGAAUUGCUAGUAAUCGCAGAUCAGCAUGCUGCGGUGAAUACGUUCCCGGGCCUUGUACACACCGCCCGUCACGCCAUGGGAGUCGGUAACACCCGAAGCCUGUAGUCUAACCGCAAGGAGGACGCAGUCGAAGGUGGAUUGAUGACUGGGGUG
RNAcentral lists this ribosomal RNA (1433 nucleotides) under uncultured bacterium. RNAcentral describes it as "bacterial SSU rRNA". It matches the Rfam family "Bacterial small subunit ribosomal RNA". The record is from RNAcentral.